This 107-nucleotide small nucleolar RNA is filed under the name Nelumbo nucifera (sacred lotus). RNAcentral describes it as "Plant small nucleolar RNA R71". It matches the Rfam family "Plant small nucleolar RNA R71". From Rfam's summary of the family: R71 is a member of the C/D box family of snoRNAs containing the C (UGAUGA) and D (CUGA) box motifs. Multiple nearly identical copies of this snoRNA have been identified in Arabidopsis, and it is thought to function as a 2'-O-ribose methylation guide for 18S ribosomal RNA. The record is from Rfam by way of RNAcentral. Lineage: Eukaryota; Viridiplantae; Streptophyta; Magnoliopsida; Proteales; Nelumbonaceae.
AGUCCAUGAUGAGGGACUUUCCUCAAUAGUUCCUUGAAACGCUCCCAUAGCUCAUACAAUGACUCCCCGUCCUGUUGAGAGAAGGUGGUGAUAUCAUUCCUCAUCUU